RNAcentral lists this long non-coding RNA (709 nucleotides) under Scophthalmus maximus (turbot). RNAcentral describes it as "lncRNA (ENSSMAG00000036607.1)". The record is from RNAcentral. Lineage: Eukaryota; Metazoa; Chordata; Actinopteri; Pleuronectiformes; Scophthalmidae.
UCUCAUUCUCAGAGGGUCUCGGAUCACAUCGUGUCUCACCUUCUCGCCCGCUAUGCAGCCACUUUGUUAUAUUGCUUUUAUUCUCCUGUGCAGUGUCCAUUUCCUCUCCGCGGAGGUUUCCACACUGUGCAGUGAGACACAAUAUGCCUGGCCGGUGGACGCAGCCAGGCACUGCUGUAAUAAGUGCCCACCGGGUCAGCGUAUGGCCCGUCGUAGUCUCGACUCUUGUAAAAUUACGUGUGAGACUUGUUUGACAGGCCGAUACCUUGAUUCCUACAAUGUGGAUAUGACUUGCAGUGUUUGCAAAAAUUGCAAAAAACCAAACAUGGAGUAUACGUCACCCUGCACUAGCGCUCACGACGCUGUGUGCAGAUGUAAAGCAGGCUACAGAUGCAAAGACCAACCCUGCACAGAGUGUGUGUCGAUACUAACUACCACCAAACCCACACUCCCUAUAUGCACUACAACACGUGAAGCCCUCACGGCGAUUGCACCCUCUAAACCAGUCACAGGUACAGUGUGGCUCCUGAUGAUAACUGCCUGCCUGUGUACAGGAAUUGCAUUUGUUGUUGUAACAACAGUAAAGUCCAUCAGGUCCAAGAACGGAUAUAUUUUGACUGAAAAACCAGCAACAGCAUCUGAGGACGAGGGGGUAUCCAAGCCUGUCCAGGAAGUGUGUGGGAAAUGUGACCAACCUAUAGAUGUAUGA